GUGCCAGCCGCCGCGGUAAUACGUAGGUGGCAAGCGUUGUCCGGAUUUAUUGGGCGUAAAGCGAGCGCAGGCGGUUUCUUAAGUCUGAUGUGAAAGCCCCCGGCUCAACCGGGGAGGGUCAUUGGAAACUGGGAGACUUGAGUGCAGAAGAGGAGAGUGGAAUUCCAUGUGUAGCGGUGAAAUGCGUAGAUAUAUGGAGGAACACCAGUGGCGAAGGCGGCUCUCUGGUCUGUAACUGACGCUGAGGCUCGAAAGCGUGGGGAGCGAACAGGAUUAGAUACCCUGGUAGUCCACGCCGUAAACGAUGAGUGCUAAGUGUUGGAGGGUUUCCGCCCUUCAGUGCUGCAGCAAACGCAUUAAGCACUCCGCCUGGGGAGUACGACCGCAAGGUUGAAACUCAAAGGAAUUGACGGGGGCCCGCACAAGCGGUGGAGCAUGUGGUUUAAUUCGAAGCAACGCGAAGAACCUUACCAGGUCUUGACAUCCUUUGACCACUCUAGAGAUAGAGCUUCCCCUUCGGGGGCAAAGUGACAGGUGGUGCAUGGUUGUCGUCAGCUCGUGUCGUGAGAUGUUGGGUUAAGUCCCGCAACGAGCGCAACCCUUAUUGUUAGUUGCCAUCAUUUAGUUGGGCACUCUAGCGAGACUGCCGGUGACAAACCGGAGGAAGGUGGGGGAUGACGUCAAAUCAUCAUGCCCCUUAUG
This 702-nucleotide ribosomal RNA is filed under the name uncultured bacterium. Its description in RNAcentral is "bacterial SSU rRNA". It matches the Rfam family "Bacterial small subunit ribosomal RNA", at positions 505 to 1206 of the family's 1533-position model. The record is from RNAcentral.